RNAcentral lists this ribosomal RNA (429 nucleotides) under uncultured bacterium. RNAcentral's name for it is "bacterial SSU rRNA". It matches the Rfam family "Bacterial small subunit ribosomal RNA", at positions 355 to 775 of the family's 1533-position model. The record is from RNAcentral.
UGGGGAAUAUUGGACAAUGGGCGAAAGCCUGAUCCAGCAACGCCGCGUGGGUGAUGAAGGCCUUCGGGUCGUAAAGCCCUGUCAGCAGGGAAGAAACUCUUUCGUUAUAACAUGGCGGAAGAUUGACGGUACCUGCGGAGGAAGCACCGGCUAACUCCGUGCCAGCAGCCGCGGUAAAACGGAGGGUGCAAGCGUUGUUCGGAAUUACUGGGCGUAAAGCGCGUGCAGGCGGUUUUUUAAGUUCUGUGUGAAAUCCCUCGGCUCAACCGAGGAACUGCGCAGAAUACUGAAGAACUAGAAUACGGGAGAAGUGGGCGGAAUUCCCAGUGUAGAGGUGAAAUUCGUAGAUAUUGGGAGGAACACCGGUGGCGAAAGCGGCUCACUAGACCGAUAUUGACGCUCAUACGCGAGAGCAUGGGUAGCAAACAG